UUACUGAGUGAGGGCCCCUCGGGGUCCAACCUCCCACCCGUGUUUAACGAACCUUGUUGCUUCGGCGGGCCCGCCUCACGGCCGCCGGGGGGCAUCCGCCCCCGGGCCCGCGCCCGCCGAAGCCACCUGUGAACGCUGUCUGAAGUAUGCAGUCUGAGACAAUUAUUAAAUUAAUUAAAACUUUCAACAACGGAUCUCUUGGUUCCGGCAUCGAUGAAGAACGCAGCGAAAUGCGAUAACUAAUGUGAAUUGCAGAAUUCAGUGAAUCAUCGAGUCUUUGAACGCACAUUGCGCCCUCUGGUAUUCCGGAGGGCAUGCCUGUCCGAGCGUCAUUGCUGCCCUCCAGCCCGGCUGGUGUGUUGGGCCCCGCCCCCCUUCCCGGGGGGGCGGGCCCGAAAGGCAGCGGCGGCACCGCGUCCGGUCCUCGAGCGUAUGGGGCUUUGUCACCCGCUCUUGUAGGCCCGGCCGGCGUCAGCCGACCCCCUCAAUCUAUUUUUUCAGGUUGACCUCGGAUCAGGUAGGGAUACCCGCUGAACUUAAGCAUAUCAAUAAGCGGAGGAAAAGAAACCAACCGGGAUUGCCCUAGUAACGGCGAGUGAAGCGGCAAGAGCUCAAAUUUGAAAGCUGGCCCCCUCGGGGUCCGCAUUGUAAUUUGCAGAGGAUGCUUCGGGAGCGGUCCCCAUCUAAGUGCCCUGGAACGGGCCGUCAUAGAGGG
RNAcentral lists this ribosomal RNA (715 nucleotides) under fungal sp. RNAcentral describes it as "eukaryotic LSU rRNA". The stretch from base 504 to 715 matches the Rfam family "Eukaryotic large subunit ribosomal RNA", at positions 1 to 212 of the family's 3401-position model. Lineage: Eukaryota; Fungi. The record is from RNAcentral.